Molecule: ribosomal RNA, 505 nt
Filed under: uncultured bacterium
Lineage: Bacteria
Description: partial 16S ribosomal RNA
Rfam family: Bacterial small subunit ribosomal RNA
Source: RNAcentral
UCCUCCCUCUGUCGGCGUGCCUAAUACAUGCAAGUAGAACGCACAGUUUAUACCGUAGCUUGCUACACCAUAGACUGUGAGUUGCGAACGGGUGAGUAACGCGUAGGUAACCUGCCUGGUAGCGGGGGAUAACUAUUGGAAACGAUAGCUAAUACCGCAUAAUAUUGAUUAUUGCAUGAUAAUUAAUUGAAAGGUGCAAUUGCACCACUACCAGAUGGACCUGCGUUGUAUUAGCUAGUAGGUGAGGUAACGGCUCACCUAGGCGACGAUACAUAGCCGACCUGAGAGGGUGAUCGGCCACACUGGGACUGAGACACGGCCCAGACUCCUACGGGAGGCAGCAGUAGGGAAUCUUCGGCAAUGGACGAAAGUCUGACCGAGCAACGCCGCGUGAGUGAAGAAGGUUUUCGGAUCGUAAAGCUCUGUUGUAAGAGAAGAACGGGUGUGAGAGUGGAAAGUUCACACUGUGACGGUAUCUUACCAGAAAGGGACGGCUAACUACGUG